AGGGGGAUCGCACCCGACACGCGGGAUAUCGACCCUAUAUGCCAUGCUCCUGGGUGCUGAUGCGGGUCCCCCGGCACACUUCCACUCAAAGUGGGAACAAGCCACAGGUGUCACCUUAACGGAACCACAAUGGGAGCAAAUACACGUCCUGUCCCACCAGGGGAUACUUAGUUCUAAAAUGCAGGAACUUAAUUAUAAACUAUUGACGCACUGGUACCAGACCCCCGCACGACUCCAUGCCAUGGGGGUCACCCCCGACAACAAGUGUUGGAGAUGUGACAUCGCCGAAGGGACGGCAUUACACCUGUGGUGGUCUUGCCCUCGG
This is a non-coding RNA of Pelobates cultripes (western spadefoot toad), 325 nucleotides long. NCBI's taxonomy places the organism in Eukaryota, Metazoa, Chordata, Amphibia, Anura, Pelobatidae. The record is from the annotation of a GenBank genome assembly.